UGCUUAAUGGUUGUCUUUCUGAUUGCCUAAAGCAACGUGAAAAAUUCAUUUUACCAGCUAUGAAAGCU
This is a small nucleolar RNA of Artibeus jamaicensis (Jamaican fruit-eating bat), 68 nucleotides long. RefSeq annotates it as small nucleolar RNA SNORD102. NCBI's taxonomy places the organism in Eukaryota, Metazoa, Chordata, Mammalia, Chiroptera, Phyllostomidae. The record is from RefSeq and is a predicted model, not a curated record. The transcript has a single exon.